UUCUUCUUUCUUAAAUUCUCUUUCCUCUAUCUCUCCUCCUCUCUCAUCUGCCUCUCUCUCCUCAAACAAACCCUAAUCAAUAAGAAUCGGGAAGUAGACAAAGAUGAAGACCUAGAUUGAACGUCAUUCUUGGCCUAAAUUCGGUGAUGCUGUUCAUGAAGAAAUCGGCGCUCGUCAAACUAUGGUUUCUACUGAAGAAAUUGGCCUUCAACGACCUGCUGCUCCUGGGUUUUCGAAUCUGGCCGUGUUAUUCAUGUGUUAUUGGAUAGAUUUUUAAUGGAUUUACUCGUGAAUUUGUUCUAUGUUUGAGUGAUUUUUGCCAAUUGAGGUUAAUUGGAAGAAAUUAAGGGUUUCCUGAUCUCUCGAGGCUGUUUGUGGAAUUUUGGGGGAAUUGGAGAUGGAUAGGGGUUGGAGUGGUGGUUUCGUGGGUGCGGUGGUGGGUGUGGUGCGGAGGAAUUACAGUCUAUCAAACAGAUUGGGGCCUCUCUGCCUUGCAGAUUCUCAAGGAUGAUGAAGGACCUUUUAAUUUGGCUAUGGCUCCUUUGAAGUUGAAUGGUGACAAAAGUCUUUUUGGAAGUUUUUUGCCUAUUGGGAAUGAUGACUCUCAGAAUGUCAAGGGAAUACAGACCCUGGAGUGCCUGUUGUAUAUGCUGGAUUUGGUGCUCUGAUGCUCACAUGUAUCAGUUAUUUAUUUCAUGCACAGGUGAUUUUCUAAGCUCUUGAUUAUCACUCUUCAAGGAUUUGUUACGCAAUUGCUACUUGGAUAUACUAGUUCAUAUAUUGAUAAAUGCCCUUUUCACAUAUGUGGCUAGCUAUCAGAUUCAAUUAGAGAAGUUUCUACUACUUGUAAAAGCAUUGUUUCUUAUCAGAAAAAAAGGAUGUAGUUGCACAUGUCUUGAUGUUCCUAUUGCUUUCACCCGCUCUCUCAUUUUGAGUUGAUAUACUCAACAAAACUACUUCAUACUUGGUAAUCUCUUCAGCACUUUAAUUUCAUGAGCAGGAUUACCUACCUCUAUAUUGUAUGUUCUGCAAAUUGUAUGAAAUAAUGAAUUAUGAUACAAAAUUAAUAAUCGAGGUCCUUGCAUUUUAAGUAAGCAGAUAAUAGGAGAUUCCUUCAAGAGAUGACCUGAUAUGUAGUGAGUGUGAUUGGUUCCUUAGGCUGUGAGAUUGGCUGAAUGCCUAUUAUGUCUCAUGUAUUAUUAGUUCCAUAACAAAGAAAUAGUCAUCAGAAAUCUGGAAAGUUUCACUGCCUCUUGGUUUUUAAUUAAUGGUUUUUAUGAUUUCAUGUAUGUUGUUUUCAUUUUCAAAUAUAUCUUUGUUUGCAACUUACAAGAUUUAGCUUUACUUGUCGUACCAUCUCUAACUUCUAUAGUAGAGCUUAUAUAAAAUUAUUAUUUUUCUAUGAUUUUGUUACUGACAAAUAUUCCAAUUGUACGAAUGUUGUCAAGGGCUUGCCUAAUUAUAGGCGUUACAGAGAUCCGGAGGCCAAUCUGGUGAGGCCAGAGGAACCAGAAGAUGUUCCCAUGGAGGACAGGAACCUUGCUGGGGAUGGCAAUUCUAAUUCAGAUGAUUUUUCUAAUGAUAGUGCAGGGAGUGACUACUCUGAAAAUUAUUAUACAGGGUCUGAGCACUGAACAAGGCACUCUAAUCAAUCUGUUUCUCAGGUCUAUAGCCCACCAGGAACAAGGCUAGGCUUGAACAACGAUCCUUAUGCGGUCUUCUAUCCUUCUGUUCAGGCUCGCAGAAAUGGGCAGGCUAGGGCUCUCUCCUUCUCUAAAUGCUUGGUUCCCUUACACCCUUCUAUUCAACGAAAAGGGAAGGAAAUAGUAGCAGUGCCUUCAACCUUCGAAAUUGGGGAGUCUCCUCUGAGUCCUUAUAUUUCUUAUUUUAUAUACAUUUGUCAUUAUCGUUUAAUGUUUUGGGUGAUUCUCUUGCAUAGCUAAUAAUUUGUUAUUCUUUUUAGAUUUGCAUUGGUAGUUUUGUUGUAUAUCCAUAUCAUUUAUUGGCGGCAAGUCUUCUAUGUUUUUUCAAGAUGGCAGGGAUUAUGUUAUGUCUGUUUUUGAAGUUGUUUCAAUUACAUUUUUUUUAUUAUCUGAGAUUCUGAAAUACGAGAAAACAAUGAUGAUAUGAUCCAUUUGUUAAUUGUCUAAUUAGCUUAAACGAAGUAUAACAGAAUGUCAGAAUUUCUCACUCUAAUGAGCUUGUACAAUUUUAUGCGUGCAUCUGCUUAUCAUCAAAUAUAGGAGGUUUUCAACAUGUUCUGGAAAAUGGUUUAAUGAAAUUCAGUUCGGUAUUUAUACACCAAGAUUAAAAGUCUCAUGAUUCCAUCAAUUUCUGCUGUUCUGUGAGAAAAUAUUAGGUGAUAUAUUCUUAUCUUUAUCCUUCUUGACUAAUAUAGUGAUUACUAGCUCUCAUAUUGGGGUACAAAUUGCCUUGAAGUUCUAAUGAAAAUAUACAAUGGCUUUUCUUUUAUUGGGUUUUCCAUGUUCUGUUCCUGAUAAUUAUGAAGUCUGUAAACUUUCAGCUUUGAAUCUGAAAGUAAUAGCUCUGUCACAGUCACUAAAAUUGGUUUUUGGAUUUUUUUUGUAGUGUCAGAAUUAGAGCUGGAGAAAUUAAAGCAUGCAUUGAAACUUCUUUCUGAAUCUGAAAAACAGCUUAGAGUUUCCAGCGAACGCUCCAUGUGGUUUACUGCCACUUUAUUACAACUUGGCUCUAUUAAUAAAAAAAAUAAAUGCGUUUUUUGCCAAAACAGUGGAUACUUAUAUGUAGCAAUUGUAUACCUUAUACUUGCAUCUCUUCUAUAAAAAAGUUAUUCUGGAUGGGGUUUCAUUUCUGUGACUUUUGUGAUGUACUAAAUAUUGUUUAAGAAUUACUUUACAACCCUUCCCUCUUCCUUCUUCCAGAAACCAAAAAGCAUGCAUGCAUCUUGUAUGGAAGAGUGUGUGUGACAGAGAGAGAGUGUGUGUAUGUGUGUGUGUGUGUGUUUAGCAGCUAUAUAUAUGUUACAAUUUCGUUUCUAUAACUUGCUUUGACAGGUAAAACAGCAGCAACAGCACCACCAGACAACAGCUAACAGCCAGCAGAUAGCCAACAAGCUUUUGCAAAACCAGGCCAACAACCAAACAGCAGCAUCACAGCAGC
RNA transcript from Chenopodium quinoa (quinoa), 3141 nucleotides. It is a transcript of the gene named cytochrome c biogenesis protein CCS1, chloroplastic-like, with no coding region annotated. The record is from RefSeq and is a predicted model, not a curated record. The transcript has 4 exons. NCBI's taxonomy places the organism in Eukaryota, Viridiplantae, Streptophyta, Magnoliopsida, Caryophyllales, Amaranthaceae.